Molecule: ribosomal RNA, 433 nt
Filed under: uncultured bacterium
Lineage: Bacteria
Description: partial 16S ribosomal RNA
Rfam family: Bacterial small subunit ribosomal RNA
Source: RNAcentral
AACGAACGCUGGCGGCAUGCCUAACACAUGCAAGUCGAACGAGACCUUCGGGUCUAGUGGCGCACGGGUGCGUAACGCGUGGGAACCUGCCCUUAGGUUCGGAAUAACUCCCCGAAAGGGGUGCUAAUACCGGAUAAUGUCUUCGGACCAAAGAUUUAUCGCCUUUGGAUGGGCCCGCGUUGGAUUAGCUAGUUGGUAGGGUAAAAGCCUACCAAGGCGACGAUCCAUAGCUGGUCUGAGAGGAUGAUCAGCCACACUGGGACUGAGACACGGCCCAGACUCCUACGGGAGGGAGCAGUGGGGAAUAUUGGACAAUGGGCGAAAGCCUGAUCCAGCAAUGCCGCGUGAGUUAUGAAGGCCUUAGGGUUGUAAAGCUCUUUUACCCGGGAUGAUAAUGACAGUACCGGGAGAAUAAGCUCCGGCUAACUCCGUG